This 1336-nucleotide long non-coding RNA is filed under the name Sus scrofa (pig). Its description in RNAcentral is "lncRNA (ENSSSCG00005002958.1)". The record is from RNAcentral. Lineage: Eukaryota; Metazoa; Chordata; Mammalia; Artiodactyla; Suidae.
AGCGCCGAGCGGUGCGGGGCGGGGACCUGAACGCCGACCUGGCGCGCACUCUGCAGUGCACACCUGCCCGCUCCACGGAACCGGACGAGCUUCUGAGCCUUCUCUGAAGUGUGUCCUCGCCCUGCCGUGCGCACUCUCCCGGGGUCUCCGGUCCAGGUCCAGCUCCCCAGGGGUCUCCAGGCCUCUCCCGGAGGGUUUCCAGGCCCCUCUCCCUGGGCCCGUGCCGCAUCUGAGGACCCUGUACCCAUUUGGUGCUUUGUACACCUGCAUCUCUAAGGACUUGCUGCUUUGGGUUUGUGUUUGUUUUUUAAUUUUAUGGCUGCACCCAAUUUUAUGGCAUAUGGGGAUUCCCAGGUCAGGGACUGAAUCCGAGCUGCAGCUGCGACCUACCUGCAGCAAGCAGGACCCUUUUAACCCACUGCACAGGGCAUGGAAUCAAACCCGAAGCCUUGGAGCCACUUCAGUGGGAUUCUUAACCCACUUCACCGCAGACGAAAUCCAGUGGGCAAGACGUAAGCUCUUAAGGAGCCCUGUCAGGAUACCUAAAAUUCUGAAAGAGUGGAAUUAGCAGGGAGGUUCAUUCAUGAAGGUUAAGUCUGAAGAAGGUGAGUAGUUUACUGGUACAGGGGGAAAAGAAAACCUUCUUAGACUCAUUGGACAAGAAAAGAGAUCAGCCCAGCAGUCCUGAAACUGGGGCAAUCAGACGCCAUCUCAUGGCAACUUACCUAGAAGGGACAGUUGUGGGCCUAGCGGGUCGUCUAAGAACAGGGGUGACAGUUGACAAGUCUUUGAAAUAGUUUCAUUUCUGUAGAACUCAUGGAGGAGGGACUCAAAGCAAUGGAGCCACACACACAGAAGAUGGAGUACUGACUUCUCCCUCUUCCUCUAGGUUUGCAGCACCUCACGCUGGUAAACAAUUCCAAGUGCAUCUGCUGCAGGUAAGACGUCUGCGUUCAUUGCUACCCCGGGGCUGCAGGAAUGACAGGAUUUCUCUCUGAACCCGAGGAGGCUCACAGGGCAGGCAUGCAGACUUCUCAGCUCGGGAGUUCCCAUUGCGGCUCAGCGAAAACGACUGACUAGUAUCCAUGAGGACGCAGGUUCAAUCACUGGCCUCGCUCAGUGGGUUAAGGAUCCGUCGUUGCCAUGGCUGUGGCGUAGGCCAGCAGCUACAGCUCUGAAUCAGCCUCCUAGCCUGGGAACCUCCAUAUGCCCCGGGCGUGACCGUAAAAAGACAAAAAAAAAAAAAACAAAAAAAACUUCUUAGCUCGCAUGUUUUCCUUUUAAUUUGAUUCCCUGGAAAAUAGAUUUGGUUUUUUAAAAAGUAAAACAGUUCAUC